Molecule: ribosomal RNA, 437 nt
Filed under: uncultured Clostridium sp.
Lineage: Bacteria; Bacillati; Bacillota; Clostridia; Eubacteriales; Clostridiaceae
Description: partial 16S ribosomal RNA
Rfam family: Bacterial small subunit ribosomal RNA
Source: RNAcentral
ACGGAAGGCAGCAGUGGGGAAUAUUGGGCAAUGGGCGAAAGCCUGACCCAGCGACGCCGCGUGAGGGAAGAAGGUCUUCGGAUUGUAAACCUCUUUCAGCAGGGAAGAAGCAAGUGACGGUACCUGCAGAAGAAGUCACGGCUAACUACGUGCCAGCAGCCGCGGUAAUACGUAGGGGGCAAGCGUUAUCCGGAUUUACUGGGUGUAAAGGGAGCGUAGACGGCAUGGCAAGUCUGAUGUGAAAACCCGGGGCUCAACCCCGGGACUGCAUUGGAAACUGUCAGGCUAGAGUGCAGGAGAGGUAAGUGGAAUUCCUAGUGUAGCGGUGAAAUGCGUAGAUAUUAGGAGGAACACCAGUGGCGAAGGCGGCUUACUGGACUGUAACUGACGUUGAGGCUCGAAAGCGUGGGGAGCAAACAGGAUUAGAUACCCUGGUA